RNAcentral lists this ribosomal RNA (595 nucleotides) under uncultured Bacteroidota bacterium. RNAcentral describes it as "bacterial SSU rRNA". It matches the Rfam family "Bacterial small subunit ribosomal RNA", at positions 122 to 715 of the family's 1533-position model. Lineage: Bacteria; Pseudomonadati; Bacteroidota. The record is from RNAcentral.
CAACCUACCUAUCAGAGGGGAAUAACCCGGCGAAAGUCGGACUAAUACCGCAUAAAACAGGGGCACCGCAUGGUGAUAUUUGUUAAAGAAAUUCGCUGAUAGAUGGGCAUGCGCUCCAUUAGGUAGUUGGUGAGGUAACGGCUCACCAAGCCGACGAUGGAUAGGGGAACUGAGAGGUUGGUCCCCCACACUGGUACUGAGACACGGACCAGACUCCUACGGGAGGCAGCAGUGAGGAAUAUUGGUCAAUGGGCGGGAGCCUGAACCAGCCAAGUCGCGUGAAGGAAGAAGGAUCUAUGGUUCGUAAACUUCCUUUGCAGGGGAAUAAAGUGCGGGACGUGUCCUGUUUUGUAUGUACCCUGAGAAUAAGGAUCGGCUAACUCCGUGCCAGCAGCCGCGGUAAUACGGAGGAUCCGAGCGUUAUCCGGAUUUAUUGGGUUUAAAGGGUGCGUAGGUGGUUUGAUAAGUCAGCGGUGAAAGUUUGCAGCUUAACUGUGAAAAUGCCGUUGAAACUGUCGGACUUGAGUGUAAAUGAGGUAGGCGGAAUGCGUGGUGUAGCGGUGAAAUGCAUAGAUAUCACGAAGAACUCCGAUUG